GACGAACGCUGGCGGCGUGCUUAACACAUGCAAGUCGAACGGAAAGGCCCUGCUUUUGUGGGGUGCUCGAGUGGCGAACGGGUGAGUAACACGUGAGUAACCUGCCCUUGACUUUGGGAUAACUUCAGGAAACUGGGACUAAUGCCGGAUAGGAGCUCCUGCUGCAUGGUGGGGGUUGGAAAGUUUCGGCGGUUGGGGAUGGACUCGCGGCUUAUCAGCUUGUUGGUGGGGUAGUGGCUUACCAAGGCUUUGACGGGUAGCCGGCCUGAGAGGGUGACCGGCCACAUUGGGACUGAGAUACGGCCCAGACUCCUACGGGAGGCAGCAGUGGGGAAUAUUGCACAAUGGGCGGAAGCCUGAUGCAGCAACGCCGCGUGCGGGAUGACGGCCUUCGGGUUGUAAACCGCUUUCGCCUGUGACGAAGCGUGAGUGACGGUAAUGGGUAAAGAAGCACCGGCUAACUACGUG
RNAcentral lists this ribosomal RNA (468 nucleotides) under uncultured bacterium. RNAcentral's name for it is "partial 16S ribosomal RNA". It matches the Rfam family "Bacterial small subunit ribosomal RNA", at positions 28 to 507 of the family's 1533-position model. The record is from RNAcentral.